UACGUAGGGUGCAAGCGUUGUCCGGAAUUAUUGGGCGUAAAGAGCUCGUAGGCGGUCUGUUGCGUCGGCUGUGAAAACCCGGGGCUCAACCCCGGGCCUGCAGCCGAUACGGGCAGACUAGAGUUCGGCAGGGGAGACUGGAAUUCCUGGUGUAGCGGUGAAAUGCGCAGAUAUCGGGAGGAACACCGGUGGCGAAGGCGGUUCUCUGGGCCUUACCUGACGCUGAGGAGCGAAAGCGUGGGGAGCGAACAGG
RNAcentral lists this ribosomal RNA (253 nucleotides) under uncultured bacterium. Its description in RNAcentral is "partial 16S ribosomal RNA". It matches the Rfam family "Bacterial small subunit ribosomal RNA", at positions 524 to 776 of the family's 1533-position model. The record is from RNAcentral.